RNAcentral lists this ribosomal RNA (460 nucleotides) under uncultured bacterium. Its description in RNAcentral is "partial 16S ribosomal RNA". It matches the Rfam family "Bacterial small subunit ribosomal RNA", at positions 338 to 795 of the family's 1533-position model. The record is from RNAcentral.
CCUAUGGGUGGCAGCAGUGAGGAAUAUUGGUCAAUGGACAAGAGUCUGAACCAGCCAAGUAGCGUGAAGGAUGACUGCCCUAUGGGUUGUAAACUUCUUUUAUAUGGGAAUAAAAUGCUCAACGUGUGGGAUUUUGUAUGUACCAUAUGAAUAAGGAUCGGCUAACUCCGUGCCAGCAGCCGCGGUAAUACGGGGGAUCCGAGCGUUAUCCGGAUUUAUUGGGUUUAAAGGGAGCGUCGGUGGAUUGUUACGUCAGUUGUGAAAGUUUGCGGCUCAACCGUAAAAUUGCAGUUGAAACUGGCAGUCUUGAGUACAGUAGAGGUGGGCGGAACUCGUGGUGUAGCGGUGAAAUGCUGAGAUAUCACGAAGAACUCCGAUUGCGAAGGCAGUUCACUGGACUGCAACUGACACUGAGGCUCGAAAGUGUGGGUAUCAAACAGGAUUAGAUACCCCUGUAGUC